AUACGGAGGAUCCGAGCGUUAUCCGGAUUUAUUGGGUUUAAAGGGUGCGCAGGCGGGAGAUUAAGUCGGCGGUGAAAUUUUGCAGCUCAACUGUAAAAGUGCCUUCGGAACUGGUUUUCUUGAGUGUAGAUGAAGUAGGCGGGAUUUGUGGUGUAGCGGUGAAAUGCAUAGAUAUCACGAGGAACUCCGAUUGCGCAGGCAGCUUACUAAACUACUACUGACGCUCAGGCACGAAGGCGUGGGGAUCAAACAGGAUUAGAUACCCUGGUAGUCCACGCAGUAAACGAUGAUUACUAGCUGUUUGCGAUACAAUGUAAGCGGCUGAGCGAAAGCGUUAAGUAAUCCACCUGGGGAGUACGUUCGCAAGAAUGAAACUUAAAGGAAUUGACGGGG
This 393-nucleotide ribosomal RNA is filed under the name uncultured bacterium. RNAcentral's name for it is "partial 16S ribosomal RNA". It matches the Rfam family "Bacterial small subunit ribosomal RNA", at positions 523 to 918 of the family's 1533-position model. The record is from RNAcentral.